Molecule: ribosomal RNA, 1465 nt
Filed under: uncultured organism
Description: SSU rRNA
Rfam family: Bacterial small subunit ribosomal RNA
Source: RNAcentral
AUGGCUCAGGACGAACGCUGGCGGCGUGCCUAAUACAUGCAAGUAGAACGCUGAAGAGAGGAGCUUGCUCUUCUUGGAUGAGUUGCGAACGGGUGAGUAACGCGUAGGUAACCUGCCUUGUAGCGGGGGAUAACUAUUGGAAACGAUAGCUAAUACCGCAUAACAAUGGAUGACACAUGUCAUUUAUUUGAAAGGGGCAAUUGUUCCACUACAAGAUGGACCUGCGUUGUAUUAGCUAGUAGGUGAGGUAAUGGCUCACCUAGGCGACGAUACAUAGCCGACCUGAGAGGGUGAUCGGCCACACUGGGACUGAGACACGGCCCAGACUCCUACGGGAGGCAGCAGUAGGGAAUCUUCGGCAAUGGGGGCAACCCUGACCGAGCAACGCCGCGUGAGUGAAGAAGGUUUUCGGAUCGUAAAGCUCUGUUGUAAGUCAAGAACGGGUGUGAGAGUGGAAAGUUCACACUAUGACGGUAGCUUACCAGAAAGGGACGGCUAACUACGUGCCAGCAGCCGCGGUAAUACGUAGGUCCCGAGCGUUGUCCGGAUUUAUUGGGCGUAAAGCGAGCGCAGGCGGUUUGAUAAGUCUGAAGUUAAAGGCUGUGGCUCAACCAUAGUUCGCUUUGGAAACUGUCAAACUUGAGUGCAGAAGGGGAGAGUGGAAUUCCAUGUGUAGCGGUGAAAUGCGUAGAUAUAUGGAGGAACACCGGUGGCGAAAGCGGCUCUCUGGUCUGUAACUGACGCUGAGGCUCGAAAGCGUGGGGAGCGAACAGGAUUAGAUACCCUGGUAGUCCACGCCGUAAACGAUGAGUGCUAGGUGUUGGAUCCUUUCCGGGAUUCAGUGCCGCAGCUAACGCAUUAAGCACUCCGCCUGGGGAGUACGACCGCAAGGUUGAAACUCAAAGGAAUUGACGGGGGCCCGCACAAGCGGUGGAGCAUGUGGUUUAAUUCGAAGCAACGCGAAGAACCUUACCAGGUCUUGACAUCCCGAUGCUAUUUCUAGAGAUAGAAAGUUACUUCGGUACAUCGGUGACAGGUGGUGCAUGGUUGUCGUCAGCUCGUGUCGUGAGAUGUUGGGUUAAGUCCCGCAACGAGCGCAACCCCUAUCGUUAGUUGCCAUCAUUCAGUUGGGCACUCUAGCGAGACUGCCGGUAAUAAACCGGAGGAAGGUGGGGAUGACGUCAAAUCAUCAUGCCCCUUAUGACCUGGGCUACACACGUGCUACAAUGGUUGGUACAACGAGUUGCGAGUCGGUGACGGCGAGCUAAUCUCUUAAAGCCAAUCUCAGUUCGGAUUGUAGGCUGCAACUCGCCUACAUGAAGUCGGAAUCGCUAGUAAUCGCGGAUCAGCACGCCGCGGUGAAUACGUUCCCGGGCCUUGUACACACCGCCCGUCACACCACGAGAGUUUGUAACACCCGAAGUCGGUGAGGUAACCUUUUGGAGCCAGCCGCCUAAGGUGGGAC